RNAcentral lists this non-coding RNA (23 nucleotides) under Cricetulus griseus (Chinese hamster). The record is from RNAcentral. Lineage: Eukaryota; Metazoa; Chordata; Mammalia; Rodentia; Cricetidae.
AAUAGGCAGAUAAAGAAUAUUGA